GUCUUCGGUCUACGCGCCCGGAAUGCAUUAACGCAUGCCUGAAAUCGGAUAUUGAAAGCUAAGCAGGUUUGAGCCCGCUUAUUACUUUGAUGGGAGACUGCCUGGAAAUACCAGGUGUUGUAGGCU
Molecule: ribosomal RNA, 126 nt
Filed under: Petromyzon marinus (sea lamprey)
Lineage: Eukaryota; Metazoa; Chordata; Hyperoartia; Petromyzontiformes; Petromyzontidae
Source: RNAcentral